RNAcentral lists this transfer RNA (72 nucleotides) under Pangasianodon hypophthalmus (striped catfish). It matches the Rfam family "tRNA". Rfam says of the family: Transfer RNA (tRNA) molecules are approximately 80 nucleotides in length. Their secondary structure includes four short double-helical elements and three loops (D, anti-codon, and T loops). Further hydrogen bonds mediate the characteristic L-shaped molecular structure. tRNAs have two regions of fundamental functional importance: the anti-codon, which is responsible for specific mRNA codon recognition, and the 3' end, to which the tRNAs corresponding amino acid is attached (by aminoacyl-tRNA synthetases). tRNAs cope with the degeneracy of the genetic code in two manners: having more than one tRNA (with a specific anti-codon) for a particular amino acid; and 'wobble' base-pairing, i.e. permitting non-standard base-pairing at the 3rd anti-codon position. The record is from Rfam by way of RNAcentral. Lineage: Eukaryota; Metazoa; Chordata; Actinopteri; Siluriformes; Pangasiidae.
UCCCUGGAGGACUAGUGGUUAGGCCACAGCGCUCUCACGGCUGUGGCCCGGGUUCGAGUCCGGGUCAGGGAA